RNAcentral lists this ribosomal RNA (1501 nucleotides) under metagenome. Its description in RNAcentral is "bacterial SSU rRNA". It matches the Rfam family "Bacterial small subunit ribosomal RNA". The record is from RNAcentral.
AGAGUUUGAUCCUGGCUCAGGAUGAACGCUAGCUACAGGCUUAACACAUGCAAGUCGAGGGGAAACGAUAUUGGAAGCUUGCUUCCGAUAGGCGUCGACCGGCGCACGGGUGAGUAACGCGUAUCCAACCUGCCCACCACUUGGGGAUAACCUUGCGAAAGUAAGACUAAUACCCAAUGACGUCUCUAGAAGACAUCUGAAGGAGAUUAAAGAUUUAUCGGUGAUGGAUGGGGAUGCGUCUGAUUAGCUUGUUGGCGGGGUAACGGCCCACCAAGGCAACGAUCAGUAGGGGUUCUGAGAGGAAGGUCCCCCACAUUGGAACUGAGACACGGUCCAAACUCCUACGGGAGGCGGCAGUGAGGAAUAUUGGUCAAUGGGCGAGAGCCUGAACCAGCCAAGUAGCGUGCAGGAAGACGGCCCUAUGGGUUGUAAACUGCUUUUAUAAGGGAAUAAAGUGAGAGUCGUGACUCUUUUUGCAUGUACCUUAUGAAUAAGGACCGGCUAAUUCCGUGCCAGCAGCCGCGGUAAUACGGAAGGUCCGGGCGUUAUCCGGAUUUAUUGGGUUUAAAGGGAGCGUAGGCCGGAGAUUAAGCGUGUUGUGAAAUGUAGACGCUCAACGUCUGCACUGCAGCGCGAACUGGUUUCCUUGAGUACGCACAAAGUGGGCGGAAUUCGUGGUGUAGCGGUGAAAUGCUUAGAUAUCACGAAGAACUCCGAUUGCGAAGGCAGCUCACUGGAGCGCAACUGACGCUGAAGCUCGAAAGCGUGGGGAGCAAACAGGAUUAGAUACCCUGGUAGUCCACGCCGUAAACGAUGAUUACUAGGUGUUGGUGGGUACGACCCAUCGGUGCCGCAGCAAACGCAAUAAGUAAUCCACCUGGGGAGUACGUUCGCAAGAAUGAAACUCAAAGGAAUUGACGGGGACCCGCACAAGCGGUGGAGCAUGUGGUUUAAUUCGAAGCAACGCGAAGAACCUUACCUGGUCUUGACAUCCCUAUGAAUAACGGGCAAUGCCGUUAGUACUUCGGUACAUGGGAGACAGGUGGUGCAUGGUUGUCGUCAGCUCGUGUCGUGAGAUGUUGGGUUAAGUCCCGCAACGAGCGCAACCCUUAUCUUUAGUAGCCAGCAGUAAGAUGGGCACUCUAGAGAGACUGCCGGGGAUAACCCGGAGGAAGGUGGGGAUGACGUCAAAUCAUCAUGCCCCUUAUGACCAGGGCUACACACGUGCUACAAUGGCGUAAACAAAGAGAAGCGAAGUCGUGAGGCAGAGCGAAUCUCAAAAAUAACGUCUCAGUUCGGAUUGUAGUCUGCAACUCGACUACAUGAAGCUGGAAUCGCUAGUAAUCGCAGAUCAGAAUGCUGCGGUGAAUACGUUCCCGGGUCUUGUACACACCGCCCGUCACACCAUGGGAGUCGGAAAUGCCCGAAGUCGGUGACCUAACCGCAAGGAAGGAGCCGCCGAAGGCAGGUCUGAUAACUGGGGUGAAGUCGUAACAAGGUA